This 290-nucleotide long non-coding RNA is filed under the name Mustela putorius furo (domestic ferret). RNAcentral describes it as "lncRNA (ENSMPUG00000025065.1)". Lineage: Eukaryota; Metazoa; Chordata; Mammalia; Carnivora; Mustelidae. The record is from RNAcentral.
GCCCAGCUCCUGCCUUCUGUCUCUAGAGCAUCCCGGCGCCAACACUCAGCCUCCUACCUUAUUAAGGCUCUAUGAUGAUCCUUCCUGGGGCUGUAGGGAGAGAAAAGGGGAACCACCAGGGGCAACAGGAGAAGCAGGCUCUCUCCCGUUGUGGGGCUGGAUUCCAGAACUCCAGGAUCAAGACCUGAGCCAAAGGCAGACACUUACCCAACUGAGCCCCUCAGGUACCCCUGAUUAACCAUUAAAGAAGGCCGACCACAGCCUUGGCCUUGACUACUGAUCACCUGUGC